RNAcentral lists this ribosomal RNA (253 nucleotides) under uncultured bacterium. RNAcentral's name for it is "partial 16S ribosomal RNA". It matches the Rfam family "Bacterial small subunit ribosomal RNA", at positions 524 to 776 of the family's 1533-position model. The record is from RNAcentral.
UACGAAGGGGGCUAGCGUUGCUCGGAAUCACUGGGCGUAAAGGGUGCGUAGGCGGGUCUUUAAGUCAGGGGUGAAAUCCUGGAGCUCAACUCCAGAACUGCCUUUGAUACUGAGGAUCUUGAGUUCGGGAGAGGUGAGUGGAACUGCGAGUGUAGAGGUGAAAUUCGUAGAUAUUCGCAAGAACACCAGUGGCGAAGGCGACUCACUGGCCCGAUACUGACGCUGAGGCGCGAAAGCGUGGGGAGCAAACAGG